CGCGUAGGCGGUUUGGUAAGUCAGAUGUGAAAUCCCCGGGCUUAACUCGGGAAUUGCAUCUGAAACUGCUUUUCUUGAGUCCUGGAGGGGGUAGUGGAAUUCCCAGUGUAGCGGUGAAAUGCGUAGAUAUUGGGAGGAACACCUGUGGCGAAGGCGGCUACCUGGACAGUGACUGACGCUGAGGCGCGAAAGCUAGGGGAGCGAACGG
This 208-nucleotide ribosomal RNA is filed under the name uncultured Acidobacteriota bacterium. Its description in RNAcentral is "uncultured Acidobacteria bacterium partial 16S ribosomal RNA". It matches the Rfam family "Bacterial small subunit ribosomal RNA", at positions 568 to 775 of the family's 1533-position model. The record is from RNAcentral. Lineage: Bacteria; Pseudomonadati; Acidobacteriota.